This 373-nucleotide ribosomal RNA is filed under the name uncultured organism. RNAcentral describes it as "partial 16S ribosomal RNA". It matches the Rfam family "Bacterial small subunit ribosomal RNA", at positions 527 to 896 of the family's 1533-position model. The record is from RNAcentral.
GUAGGUGGCGAGCGUUGUCCGGAAUUAUUGGGCGUAAAGCGCGCGCAGGCGGUUCUUUAAGUCUGAUGUGAAAGCCCACGGCUCAACCGUGGAGGGUCAUUGGAAACUGGAGAACUUGAGUACAGAAGAGGAAAGCGGAAUUCCACGUGUAGCGGUGAAAUGCGUAGAGAUGUGGAGGAACACCAGUGGCGAAGGCGGCUUUCUGGUCUGUAACUGACGCUGAGGCGCGAAAGCGUGGGGAGCAAACAGGGAUUAGAUACCCUGGUAGUCCACGCCGUAAACGAUGAGUGCUAAGUGUUAGGGGGUUUCCCGCCCCUUAGUGCUGCAGCUAACGCAUUAAGCACUCCGCCUGGGGAGUACGGCCGCAAGGCUG